GUGGGGAAUAUUGGACAAUGGGCGAAAGCCUGAUCCAGCCAUGCCGCGUGUGUGAAGAAGGUCUUCGGAUUGUAAAGCACUUUAAGUUGGGAGGAAGGGCAGUAAGUUAAUACCUUGCUGUUUUGACGUUACCAACAGAAUAAGCACCGGCUAACUUCGUGCCAGCAGCCGCGGUAAUACGAAGGGUGCAAGCGUUAAUCGGAAUUACUGGGCGUAAAGCGCGCGUAGGUGGUUCAGCAAGUUGAAGGUGAAAUCCCCGGGCUCAACCUGGGAACUGCCUCCAGAACUACUGAGCUAGAGUACGGUAGAGGGUAGUGGAAUUUCCUGUGUAGCGGUGAAAUGCGUAGAUAUAGGAAGGAACACCAGUGGCGAAGGCGACUACCUGGACUGAUACUGACACUGAGGUGCGAAAGCGUGGGGAGCAAACAGGAUUAGAUACCCGAGUAGUCC
This 450-nucleotide ribosomal RNA is filed under the name uncultured bacterium. RNAcentral's name for it is "partial 16S ribosomal RNA". It matches the Rfam family "Bacterial small subunit ribosomal RNA", at positions 354 to 796 of the family's 1533-position model. The record is from RNAcentral.